RNAcentral lists this long non-coding RNA (1186 nucleotides) under Helianthus annuus (common sunflower). RNAcentral describes it as "sRNA HanXRQr2_Chr05g0206461". Lineage: Eukaryota; Viridiplantae; Streptophyta; Magnoliopsida; Asterales; Asteraceae. The record is from RNAcentral.
ACCAAGUCUUACAAUCAAAUUAUAUUUCCACGUUAGACACAUUGCCUCAAGUUAAUUUAUUAGAAUGCCAUCAUUAUCACAUUUCUCACAAUUCAUCCUUUUCUUGUAUACAAUUUUCUUAGAUUAAGUUUAUCAAUAAAAUGUGUAGCAACUUUACAAUGUAGCUGUGGAAUUGACUCUUUUAACCACUUUACGGUUUUAUUCAGCCCUUGGUGAUCAGAGAUGAAAUAUAGAAUACUAAAAUAUCUUUCCAACCCAAAAAGAAUCAGCUCAAUCCGAGCUUCCUAUAAUUAAUUAUGAUUUUCGCAAAAAUCAGCUCAGAAGUCAAAAUGCUUCCAAUCAGCUUGCUGUCAAAACAGUUCAGCCGACUUCGGACACUGUUUUGACCCGUUUAACAUCAGAAUUUAACAAACAUGUCCAAACAUAAAACGUAGUAUGUUUUAAUAGCUUUCUGAGCAUAUAAGGCUCAACCUCACAGGAUGUUCCAUGUUCUUAACCCUUAAAUUCUAGCAAAAUUAACAAGUACUAACAUCAAACUUCAAAUCUAACUUCAGGGAGUUCUAUUAACACAAUUUAACCAUUAUGAUUCUAGUGUUCAUCAUGUUUCUACAAAACCCAUUUAGCACAUAAUCGGGUGAUCAUGAAUUCACAAUUAGGAACAUCAAUUCAACAAGUAAAUGACUAGGGUUUACUCCUAGACAUAAAAUCAUUCCUAAUUUCAUCAUAUAACGAACAUGCAACCAUAAAUUUCAGAUUUCUAAGUUUACCUAGAAAUCCAACUAGAGAUUUUUCAUUAAAUUUUACAUACCUUUUAAUCCUCUUGUGAUGAGGAUUAAUAAUCCAUGCUUAAAUUUCGAUUUUGGACUGAAUUGGACCUUCAAUUUGCAAGAUUAGUGAAGUUCUAGGGUUUUGAAGAGUGGGGAGUCGCCCCUGCCCUUUCCUGUACGACCAGACAUCCUUAAUGGGUGUUUGGUUUUGAUUUGUAUUAAAAUUAGUAAUAUAAUUUCAAUUUCUUACAACUUAGGCCCCUCAUCUUUUGUUUGACAUAUAGUUUUGGUUGUUUUUAACCCUAUCAUAAGUUACUUCUAGAAUAUUAGCUAACUAGGUUAAAAUUCCUAGUUAGUAAGUUCUUGUUUAUUUAAGAAUCCUAAUAUUCGCCGGGUUACUUUUACCACUAAAGGUAAUU